Molecule: ribosomal RNA, 207 nt
Filed under: uncultured bacterium
Lineage: Bacteria
Description: partial 16S ribosomal RNA
Rfam family: Bacterial small subunit ribosomal RNA
Source: RNAcentral
UACGCAGGCGGAAAAUUAAGUCAGUGGUGAAAUCCUGCAGCUUAACUGUAGAACUGUCAUUGAUACUGGUUUUCUUGAAUACAGUUGAGGUAGGCGGAAUGUGUAAUGUAGCGGUGAAAUGCUUAGAUAUUACACAGAACACCGAUUGCGAAGGCAGCUUACUAAACUGUGAUUGACGCUGAGGUACGAAAGCGUGGGGAGCGAACA